AAACACCUCAAGGGUCUUGCCCUUUCCAACGUAAAGGCAGCCCCAGCUAUAAACAUGAAACACCAACAACCAAAAAAGAGGUUAUAUAUCUUACAGUUCUUAAACCCUUUUUUUUUUUCUGAACCUGAGUUUUUACACUGGACCGUAGUUAUGUGGCUGAUGCUGAGGAAGCCUGAAGCAAACCUGGGAAGCCGGAGACCGAACCGCCACGCCGUGCCAACAAAUACCACCCCUGCACAUUUCGUGGACAUGAAUAUGAUCCCGCGAAAUUGCGUAAGUAACUUUUCGAGACACGUCCCAAGUGAGCGAACCAAUCAAGAUUAAACCCACUAGAGUGGUGGACAAAAUCAACACAAAUCCACCGCUGAAACUCCGCCCAGUCACCAACCCAUACGCCUUAAUCCCCGUGAUCGCUGCCACGUAGAUCGUAGUUAGAUUCGCUAUCACUGCAUCCGACAGCGCCAUCUCCCUCCCUUCCUCUAUCUAAUCUAUAAGCCUAGCUCUAUCUUUUCUUAUCAAAAUUGUGAUAAUUUUCCAAUGGAAGUGUGUGUGGUUGUUCAGAGUAGUAAGCAGAAACCUUAAAGCUGGAGGGAGGGAUUGGAAGGGUGGAUUUAUGGGGUGGUAUUGGAAAUGUCGGGU
RNAcentral lists this unclassified non-coding RNA (639 nucleotides) under Hevea brasiliensis (rubber tree). The record is from RNAcentral. Lineage: Eukaryota; Viridiplantae; Streptophyta; Magnoliopsida; Malpighiales; Euphorbiaceae.